AAGUCGUAACAUUAACACGUAUCCAACGUUAAACCCCCCCCUCAAUUUCGGUCUUUUGGCAAUCCCUGGUAAAUCAUCGCCGAACAGUUUUGAUUCAGGGACAUCCAAAGGGACGGGGUAGGGUAUUAAAGUAGUAGUCAAUGCUGAGCCGGAGAACGAAGGUGCCUUCUGUCGCGCACUGUGGAAAGGAAGACGCUUUACGAAUCACUGUCCAACACGGUCAGUGACCGGGUUCCUGGUCCUAGACCCCAUAUUCACGUCGCAGACGAGGUAGGGAUACGUCCCUACCACCAAAUAAAUACUUGAACAACUGUUAACAAUGGAUAUCUUGGUUCUC
RNAcentral lists this unclassified non-coding RNA (337 nucleotides) under fungal sp. RNAcentral's name for it is "partial internal transcribed spacer region". The record is from RNAcentral. Lineage: Eukaryota; Fungi.